CAGAGUUGCAAAACUCCCUAAACCAUUGUGAACCUACCUUCUACCGUUGCUUCGGCGGGCGGGCCUAGCCGCCCCCCCGGCCCCCCGCGGGCGCCCGCCGGAGGAUAACCAAACUCUUGACAUCAGUGGCCUCUCUGAGUAUUCUUUACUGAAUAAGUCA
RNAcentral lists this unclassified non-coding RNA (160 nucleotides) under uncultured Thielavia. Its description in RNAcentral is "sequence contains ITS1". The record is from RNAcentral. Lineage: Eukaryota; Fungi; Ascomycota; Sordariomycetes; Sordariales; Chaetomiaceae.